Molecule: transfer RNA, 123 nt
Filed under: Schizophyllum commune H4-8
Lineage: Eukaryota; Fungi; Basidiomycota; Agaricomycetes; Agaricales; Schizophyllaceae
Description: tRNA-Leu
Rfam family: tRNA
About the family: Transfer RNA (tRNA) molecules are approximately 80 nucleotides in length. Their secondary structure includes four short double-helical elements and three loops (D, anti-codon, and T loops). Further hydrogen bonds mediate the characteristic L-shaped molecular structure. tRNAs have two regions of fundamental functional importance: the anti-codon, which is responsible for specific mRNA codon recognition, and the 3' end, to which the tRNAs corresponding amino acid is attached (by aminoacyl-tRNA synthetases). tRNAs cope with the degeneracy of the genetic code in two manners: having more than one tRNA (with a specific anti-codon) for a particular amino acid; and 'wobble' base-pairing, i.e. permitting non-standard base-pairing at the 3rd anti-codon position.
Source: Rfam by way of RNAcentral
GGCGAGAUGGCCGAGCGGUCUAAGGCGCCAGACUAAGGAUCAGUCAGUCCACACUGGCACAUCUGCGGGAUUCGUACUCGCAUCUGGUCUUUCGGGGCGUGGGUUCAAAUCCCACUCUCGUCA